Molecule: ribosomal RNA, 442 nt
Filed under: uncultured bacterium
Lineage: Bacteria
Description: partial 16S ribosomal RNA
Rfam family: Bacterial small subunit ribosomal RNA
Source: RNAcentral
CCUACGGGUGGCAGCAGUGGGGAAUAUUGGGCAAUGGGCGCAAGCCUGACCCAGCAAUGCCGCGUGAAGGAAGAAGGCUUUCGGGUUGUAAACUUCUUUUAAGAGGGAAGAGCAGAAGACGGUACCUCUUGAAUAAGCCACGGCUAACUACGUGCCAGCAGCCGCGGUAAUACGUAGGUGGCAAGCGUUGUCCGGAUUUACUGGGUGUAAAGGGCGUGUAGCCGGGCUGACAAGUCAGAUGUGAAAUUCCGGGGCUCAACCCCGGACCUGCAUUUGAAACUGUUGGUCUAGAGUAUCGGAGAGGCAGGCAGAAUUCCUGGUGUAGCGGUGAAAUGCGUAGAGAUUAGGAGGAACACCAGUGGCGAAGGCGGCCUGCUGGACGACGACUGACGGUGAGGCGCGAAAGCGUGGGGAGCAAACAGGAUUAGAUACCCGGGUAGUC